CCAGGUCGGGUAUAGUGUACUGGUUGGAAGGGCAGAGCUGGACCAACUCACCGCAGGGCUCGGUGACCUGUCAGUGUUCGCUGUUAACGUUACGUCGUAACCAGCCGGUACCUCAGUACUAUGCUUGGAACAGCGCCUACAAUUUCUAGGACCACCGAUAACAAAGCUGCCCGUCGAUUUGCCUGGAUAAAAUGUUAAUGUUCACAACGUUAAUGAUAGCAAUUCUCUGAUGUAUAUUGAAUACGUUUAGAUUAUUGUAUGAUGCAUUAUUUAUUUGAUACAAUAUGACAGUUUAUUUUUUAUAUUAAAUAGGAGUUAUAUUUGAAAUCUCUACAGGCAUAUAUUUGAUAACCGCAUAAACUCUGGCCUAUUUCUUUGUGUUUUUGAAUCAACCUAAAGGGAAAAACGAUGUAUCGUAAUGCUUAAAUGACUAAAUUAAAUUGAAUUAAAUCUUUAAAUCAA
This is a long non-coding RNA of Gadus morhua (Atlantic cod), 462 nucleotides long. RefSeq lists it as uncharacterized. Lineage: Eukaryota; Metazoa; Chordata; Actinopteri; Gadiformes; Gadidae. The record is from RefSeq and is a predicted model, not a curated record. The transcript is spliced from 2 exons.